Molecule: ribosomal RNA, 250 nt
Filed under: uncultured bacterium
Lineage: Bacteria
Description: partial 16S ribosomal RNA
Rfam family: Bacterial small subunit ribosomal RNA
Source: RNAcentral
UACGUAGGGGCCGAGCGUUGUCCGGAGUUACUGGGCGUAAAGCGCGCGCAGGCGGCUUUCUAAGCCCGGCGUGAAAGCCCCCGGCUCAACCGGGGAGGGUCGUCGGGGACUGGAGGGCUUGAGGGUGGCAGGGGCCGGUGGAAUCCCCGGUGUAGUGGUGAAAUGCGUAGAGAUCGGGGGGAACACCCGUGGCGAAGGCGGCCGGCUGGGCCGACCCUGACGCUGAGGCGCGAAGGCGUGGGGAGCGAAC